This 206-nucleotide unclassified non-coding RNA is filed under the name Hevea brasiliensis (rubber tree). The record is from RNAcentral. Lineage: Eukaryota; Viridiplantae; Streptophyta; Magnoliopsida; Malpighiales; Euphorbiaceae.
CAACUAAGUAAAAAGAGGUAAAGAAGAUUUAGAGAAGAAAGCAAAGAAAAGGAGACAGCACAAGCAAAUUCACAGGGCACUUAACUCUUCUAUAUUAUCUUACCUUUUUUUCCCCGCAGUGAAACAAUCAAGAUGACCACUGCUGCUAGUAAGAUGAGCUGAAAAAUAAUUGAAAAAUCCUCUCACUUCAGCAUCUCAAUCAUCGU